This 497-nucleotide ribosomal RNA is filed under the name uncultured bacterium. RNAcentral describes it as "partial 16S ribosomal RNA". It matches the Rfam family "Bacterial small subunit ribosomal RNA", at positions 28 to 507 of the family's 1533-position model. The record is from RNAcentral.
GACGAACGCUGGCGGCGUGCCUAAUACAUGCCAGUCGAGCGAACAGACCAGGAUCUUGCUCCUCUGUCGUUAGCGGCGGACGGGUGAGUCACACGUGGAUAACCUACCUAUCAUACUGAGAUAACUUCGGAAAACCGGCGCUAAUACCAGAUCAUAUCUUGAACCGCAUUGUUCAAUGGUGAAAUACGGUUUUGCUGUCACUAAUAGCUGGAUCCGCGCCGCAUUAUCUAGUUGGUAAGGUAACGGCUUAUCAAGGCGACGAUGCGUAGCCGACCUGAGAGGGUGAUCGGCCAUACGGGAAUGGAGAAAGGGUACAUACGCCUAAGGGAGGCAGCAGUAGGGAAUCUUUCGCAAAGGGCGAAAGUCUUGAGGAGCAAUGUCGCGUGAGGGAAGCAGGUCUUGGGAUCGUAAAAAUCUGUUAUGAGGGAAGAAAAAAUGUGUAAGUAACUAUGCACGCCUUGACGGUACCGAAGAAGAAAGCUACGGCUAACUACGUG